RNAcentral lists this ribosomal RNA (253 nucleotides) under uncultured bacterium. RNAcentral's name for it is "partial 16S ribosomal RNA". It matches the Rfam family "Bacterial small subunit ribosomal RNA", at positions 524 to 776 of the family's 1533-position model. The record is from RNAcentral.
UACGUAGGGUGCAAGCGUUAAUCGGAAUUACUGGGCGUAAAGCGUGCGCAGGCGGUGAUGUAAGACAGUUGUGAAAUCCCCGGGCUCAACCUGGGAACUGCAUCUGUGACUGCAUCGCUGGAGUGCGGCAGAGGGGGAUGGAAUUCCGCGUGUAGCAGUGAAAUGCGUAGAGAUGCGGAGGAACACCGAUGGCGAAGGCAGCCCCCUGGGCUAACACUGACGCUCAGGCACGAAAGCGUGGGGAGCAAACAGG